Molecule: unclassified non-coding RNA, 20 nt
Filed under: Mus musculus (house mouse)
Lineage: Eukaryota; Metazoa; Chordata; Mammalia; Rodentia; Muridae
Description: oocyte_clustered_small_RNA11389
Source: RNAcentral
UCCAGUUGCAUGGCUAGGCG